AUUACGGUGUUGGUAGAUAUGUUAAAAUAUUGUGAAUAUAUAUAUAUAUAUAUAGAGAGAGAGAGAGAGUCUUGCUACUAUACUCUUAUGAGUACGAUCGUUCUCGUUCUCAUAAGUUGUUUGUUUUCGAUGAUAGGGCUUUCGAAACGACGAUCCACACUAUUAAACGUUAUCUAGAGCAUUUAAAACGUCUAGAAAUCAAAUUUUAUAAUUUUUUGACAUCAUUUACCUUACGAUCAAAAGCUCAAAAAAUUGACAAUUUUUAACAACCGGUAUAAAAUAUUUGCUAGUUUAACGGUGUAAAAGAAUCAGAAUAGAUUGAAGUUUUGAUAGAAAAUUCUAUUCACUACCUAAAUAAAGAUCAAUAACUCCGAUCUUAAUUGAAGGAUCUGAUCAUCCAUUUUUAUGAUGUCGUUCGAUUUUGACCAUUCAUUUUAUACCUGCUUGAUUGACUUUAUAAUGAUUUCGAAAAAUUACGAAAUUUAUUAUCUAAAAGUUUCAAAUUAGGGAUGCAAAUGGAUCCGGGUUGGUGGAGCUCCGCCCCGAUCCGCUCCGAAUGGAGUGAUAAGUGGGAACAAAAAAUAUAAAAAAAUAUAACCCGCCCCGAAUCCGCCCCGAUCCGCUAAGUAAAUGGAGCGGGAGGUGAGAGACUCUUUUCUUCCUUCAAUCCGCCCCGAUCCGUCAAAAAUUCGGCUCCCGUCCUGAUCCGCCCCAAAUGGAGUGGUAAGUGGGAGCCAAAAAUAAAAUAAAAAGUAACCCGCCCCGAAUCCGCCCCGCCCCGAUAAGAAAUGGAGCGGGAGGUGGGNNNNNNNNNNNNNNNNNNNNNNNNNGCAUUAAGAGAUGUCCGGUUGGUAUGAUGUGGGACUCCUAAGGUUGAGUGAAUGGUUGGUUGAAUAAUAUGAUCUAACGGAUGAAGAUGAUUAAAGGGGUGGAUCUAACGGUAAAAAAUUUACAAGUAUCAAGUAUUUGGCGCUUUUACAAGUAUCAUAGCCGGACUUAUAUAUAUAUAUAUAUAUAUAUAUAUAUAUAUAUAUAUAUAUAUAUAUAUAUAUAUAUAUAUAGUUACUAUUCUAUCAGAAGUAUAGAGAAUCUGAUACUUCCAACUUUUUGGCAUUUAAAAUUGGUGCUAAUAUAGCCUAGUUCUAUAUAUAUAUAUAUAUAUCUAUACUACUUAUAAAAGCGUGAGUUUUGAAAUUUUUUCCUUUCCAAAAAUGUCUCUAUCUUUUUUACUAAUAUUGUCAUGUCCAAUAAAUUUCAACCACUCAUUUUAAAUAAAUCUUUAAAUAAUAAUUUAUUCUUAAAUAUAGAUAUUAAGUUUUCGCCAUUAGAUCUCAUCUAACGAAUAAAAAUAAAAGUAUCUGUCAUUUUUGUUGACAAAAAUACCCUCUAUAUUCGUUAUCUCCUAUGUACGUCGCGUUUCUCAUAUAUAUUUUUUUCUACCCACCAUACGUAAAACUAAAUUUAUCUCUUAUCUAACGUAAUACCCGCCAAUCAUGCAAUACCUUCGCUAAUCACGUAAUACGUAAAUUAAAUUUAUUUGCUGCCAACAUGUAGUAUUCAAAAUUAAAAUUUAAAUUUGUAAUGCCCGCAUAAAUUUAAUACCCGCGAAUUUGAUAAUUUGAAUUUUAAUUUAAAAUAUUUCUCUUUUUAUCAUUUCACAUGAAUAAAAUUAUUAAGAACUAAUUAUUUGGAUGGAUUGAAGUAUGAAUUGAAUUAGAUUGAUUUUCUAGGACAAGAUAAUGCUAACACACAUUGGCAUGAAAAAAUUAUUAAUAACUAAUUAUUUGGAUGGAUUGAAGUAUGAAUCGAAUUAGAUUCAUACUCUAGAACAAGAUAGUGCUAUAACACACAUUGGCAUUUGGAGGGACACUAUUGUAAACAAUUCAGUUGUUGUAUAAAAAUAGUGCACUUUAAUAUCCAUAAUUAGGAUAAAUGUACUUUUAAUAUUUUAUUUUUUUAUGGUAUUUUGAAUUUAUUUAUCAAGAUCAAUUUAGCAAAAUUUUAUAAGUAAAAUUGUGCUUAAUCCAAUAAUUCCAAAAACUCAAGAAAUAAAAUUAAGCUAAAUUUUUUACUUAUAUGAAUUCUUAUUAAAUUUACAUUUUUUUUAAUUUUAUCUAUUCUGAUGAUUUACUAAUAUUUAUUUUAUU
RNAcentral lists this long non-coding RNA (2147 nucleotides) under Ananas comosus (pineapple). Its description in RNAcentral is "long non-coding RNA (ACOM_LNC015923)". The record is from RNAcentral. Lineage: Eukaryota; Viridiplantae; Streptophyta; Magnoliopsida; Poales; Bromeliaceae.